AAUUAGUGCCGGUAUUUGUGCGUAUUGUUGGAUAGCUGAACCUUUUCCUAUAACCUGACAAACUUUUUGCACAGGACUGUACCUCCCAUUCUACAUUUUCCGUUGGGUCGUGCUCAACUUUCUUGCAACUGGUUUUUAUUAAAAAGUCAGUAAUGAAUUCAUCAUGUGUGUGUCUUUUUAACAAUACCAUUAGUUUACUUUUAUCAUCUCUUGCACACACUACUUCCAUUACUGUGCAAUCAUUCAUCCAUCCUUUUUACCUUUGCCCGUAAUGAUUUUAUAUCAUUAUAAUGAUAAUUCCUAAUAUUAUUAGCUAUCUGCCACUUAAUUUCAUCUGCUUUUACUGGAUCGCAUUCCUGCAAAACUGGUUCCAUUGGAUGGCCACAUUCUCCAAGUUGGGAGACUCUGUACCAAAGCAUUAGUGCCUAGACUUAAAACCUCAUCCACGUAGAUCAGAACCACAAUCUCAUCCGUUACAUAAGUUGUUAAGUUAUGUUUGUAACUCUUCCUCACCUGCUUCUUUAAUAACCAUUUGAACUUUUUUACGUAUCUACGAUUAAUUACAGACUGAUUCCAUGUCAAAAAAGGCUCAUACCUUGGAAAAUUCGCCCUCAAAUUCUGAACCAUGAUCUCACUCGUAUCAUUUUGUUUAAACUUCGAUUUAAAACGAAACAAGUCUCUCCUUGCAUCUGUGAUAGCCGCUGAUAGACAUCGCUUCUUAGUAUUCACCAAUAAGUUUUUUGAUCUUACUGGUAAAGUCAAUUUUGCUAUCAACGAUGGAAACACACCGUUUAACCUAGAUUGUCGUAAAAACGUAAGACGUUCUUCUAGGGUUACCAAUUUCUUUAGUUGUCUAUUUGUGAAAAAGGUUGGCUCAACCUGCAUUGUCUAAAUUACAUCAUACAUACGCUGCCGUGAUGUAUAGACUAUAAAAGUUGCAGUACAGCGGCGGGAAGGUAAAGGCUUUGACACAGAAAAUGACACAGUUCAUCAACAAAAAAUCAACCAGGAGGCCGAUUGAUG
RNAcentral lists this long non-coding RNA (1023 nucleotides) under Androctonus crassicauda. Lineage: Eukaryota; Metazoa; Arthropoda; Arachnida; Scorpiones; Buthidae. The record is from RNAcentral.